GAGGAAGUAAAGUUGGUAACAGGUUCCGUAGGUGAACUGCGGAAGGAUCAU
RNAcentral lists this ribosomal RNA (51 nucleotides) under Tricholoma sp. ump2195. Its description in RNAcentral is "partial 18S ribosomal RNA". The record is from RNAcentral. Lineage: Eukaryota; Fungi; Basidiomycota; Agaricomycetes; Agaricales; Tricholomataceae.